Podarcis lilfordi (Lilford's wall lizard) is the source of this 66-nucleotide non-coding RNA. Lineage: Eukaryota; Metazoa; Chordata; Lepidosauria; Squamata; Lacertidae. The record is from the annotation of a GenBank genome assembly.
GCAGCUCAGGGGUAGAGCAUCUGCUUUGCAUGCAAAAGGUCUUGGGUUCAACCCAAAGCAUCUGUA